CGGGUGAGUAACACGUGGAUAACCUACCUAUAAGACUGGGAUAACUUCGGGAAACCGGAGCUAAUACCGGAUAAUAUAUUGAACCGCAUGGUUCAAUAGUGAAAGACGGUUUUGCUGUCACUUAUAGAUGGAUCCGCGCCGCAUUAGCUAGUUGGCAGGGUAACGGCUUACCAAGGCAACGAUGCGUAGCCGACCUGAGAGGGUGAUCGGCCACACUGGAACUGAGACACGGUCCAGACUCCUACGGGAGGCAGCAGCG
This 259-nucleotide ribosomal RNA is filed under the name uncultured Staphylococcus sp. RNAcentral describes it as "partial 16S ribosomal RNA". It matches the Rfam family "Bacterial small subunit ribosomal RNA", at positions 103 to 356 of the family's 1533-position model. Lineage: Bacteria; Bacillati; Bacillota; Bacilli; Caryophanales; Staphylococcaceae. The record is from RNAcentral.